RNAcentral lists this ribosomal RNA (253 nucleotides) under uncultured bacterium. RNAcentral describes it as "partial 16S ribosomal RNA". It matches the Rfam family "Bacterial small subunit ribosomal RNA", at positions 524 to 776 of the family's 1533-position model. The record is from RNAcentral.
GACGAAUCGUGCGAACGUUGUUCGGAAUCACUGGGCUUAAAGGGCGCGUAGGCGGGUCGCCAAGUCUGGGGUGAAAUCCUCCCGCUUAACGGGAGAACUGCCUCAGAUACUGGCGACCUCGAGGGGGAUAGGGGCAUGCGGAACUACGGGUGGAGCGGUGAAAUGCGUUGAUAUCCGUAGGAACUCCGGUGGCGAAGGCGGCGUGCUGGAUCCCUUCUGACGCUGAGGCGCGAAAGCCAGGGGAGCAAACGGG